CAGUCGCCGCGGGAAUACGAAGGGUGCAAGCGUUAAUCGGAAUUACUGGGCGUAAAGCGUGCGUAGGCGGUGAGUUAAGUCUGCUGUGAAAUCCCCGGGCUCAACCUGGGAAUGGCAGUGGAUACUGGCUCGCUAGAGUGUGUCAGAGGAUGGUGGAAUUCCCGGUGUAGCGGUGAAAUGCGUAGAGAUAGGGAGGAACAUCAGUGGCGAAGGCGGCCAUCUGGGACAACACUGACGCUGAGGCACGAAAGCGUGGGGAGCAAACAGGAUUAGAUACCCCCGUAGUCCCUGUCUCUUAUAC
RNAcentral lists this ribosomal RNA (301 nucleotides) under uncultured bacterium. Its description in RNAcentral is "partial 16S ribosomal RNA". It matches the Rfam family "Bacterial small subunit ribosomal RNA", at positions 509 to 807 of the family's 1533-position model. The record is from RNAcentral.